Molecule: long non-coding RNA, 1752 nt
Organism: Ictalurus punctatus (channel catfish)
Lineage: Eukaryota; Metazoa; Chordata; Actinopteri; Siluriformes; Ictaluridae
Source: Ensembl
CCUGGUUUAGAUCUGAGACUCCAUUUCAGUCGCGCUGUUGCCGGUUAGCUUGCUAGCUAGCUAGCAUCUUCCUCCAUUUUGUCUACUGACUUUAGUUUCUCAGACUGACUUGCCCACUUUGUUCUCAAAAAGUUCAUUUAUUCUAAAACAUGCCAGCUAACUCGAUCCGAAAGCAAUGAAAUUAUUUGCUGAAGUCGGAGCUCGCGUCUUGUUGUUUCGUCUCUCGUGGUUGCGUUGGUUCUCAUCAUCACUCGGUUCUCUCUGUCUUCCUUGUCUCUAUCUCUCCUAUUGUCUCCUUCUCUAUGUCUGUCCAAGUCUUUUUCCCCUCCUCGGAGUACCUCCUUCUCUCGCUCUUUCCACCUCUUUUCCGACCGUAUAUAUAUUUUCUGCUAUUUUACAGAUUUAUUUCUUGCAGCGUAGCGCUGAUUUGAUAAACAGAGGCCGGUUAAAGCCUUGACUCUGCCGUAGUAGCGAUGGGUGAUGUUUUAUAAAGUUUAUAGAGCUUAUAAACAGCUCUUGUGAUGGAGUUUUACAUCCUGCUGCAGUUUGCGCCUUUGUUUUUGGACUUAAUGGCCCAUUUUUCACUCGUUUAACCUGCACAGCGUGCGCGCACUCGGUCUGCCGGAUCUGCAGCCUAUCAACCGGACUUUUAUGUAAAUUUACUCACAAAAGUUUGUCUUCAUGCCUUUAAACGCAGCCUAUAGGACGCAGACUCGCUCUCCUCGGGCGGAUGAUUUAGCUUUAUGCUAUGUUUAUCGCGCGCUCCGUGUCGCUGUGAUUUAAAUCGGCCAUUUUGGGUUAUUAGCUGCUAGGGUUAAGCAUGUCUAGGAGCACAAGCGGAGAGCGUAAAACACUUAGCGGCUAAUUUUAUAAGUCGCUUGUUUUCCUUAUCGACAUUUUUGUAGUUUGCUGUAAACCGUGUGAAUCGAGACACAUUAAACGUAAUAACAAUUUCAACACUGGAGCUCUCGGGCUGCGCCCCAAAAAACUCUGGGGAUUGAAAGACGAGUUCUGUUAAACGAGAACUCGGUGAAGGGAAAGUAAUAAAAGAACAAAUCCUCCCAUCUGCUGAAACAUUCCACUGAAGUGGCGCCAACGGUCUUCACCGUGUUCAGAAGACGAGAAGACAGAAAGUCAGCCAUCAUACCGUGAAGUUCAUUCCUGCUGGACGAGAGCGGAGGAGCGGAGGAUGUUAAAGGUCUUGAUUAAGGGUCCAACAGCGGAAGUUUUUCUCAUCACGACCUUCAGAGCAGUAGACCAGAACCUUCACCACGGGUCUCCCACAAGUUCUGGAGCGGUGCGAUGGAAAAGGCAUUGGGGAAACUCCGAGAUCACAUCCUGACAUUUCGUAUCCGUCCCGGUGUCCUGCUGUUUUCGGGGGAGAAGAACAGAACUUGUCUCGACUUUUACAGAGGUUUUAUUAUAAGCCUCGGGAAAUCUCAGCCAUUAUUAGCGUUAAAGCUUGAUUACAGUUUUUCUCACAACGGGCCUGAUACUUCGAUUUUUUUCUACAUUUUUGCAGGAGAGCGUGACAAAGCAGUUCCCCGUAAACAUUCUCCCCGUGUUUAUUUUAUACACAAGUGGCGGAAAUAGCUGCUUCCUGAGGUGAUCCGAGGUGAUCCGAGGAUCUGUUCCCUCUGCCGUCAGGAUCCAGGACGAUGAAGAACAUUACACGCCGUGAAGAUUCCUAUCUGCUCCUGAACACGCUUAAAGACAAACGAGAGGUUGUGUAGAGUCUCUCGCCAGCUAUAA